This 1822-nucleotide unclassified non-coding RNA is filed under the name Amphimedon queenslandica. Its description in RNAcentral is "uncharacterized LOC109582261, transcript variant X4". The record is from RNAcentral. Lineage: Eukaryota; Metazoa; Porifera; Demospongiae; Haplosclerida; Niphatidae.
AUCAGUAUGAUGGUCUCUUCUCUUCUCCUAUUCUUUCUGAGUAUACUAGGAUCAAGUAAUGCUGUCUUGCAGUAUCAACUACAAAAUGAUACUCUCUCUACUUGCCUUGUACUGAGUGAUGGAUCCCUCUUGAUUGGUACAGCCAGUCACAUUAUAAAGUUAAACUCUGACAGUUUAACAGUAAACUCAUCUCUUCCAUUGAACACUACUACUAAUCAACUAUUGUUGCUCCUCAAUGAUACUGGACUCAGUCAGAAUGUUCUCUCUUGUCAGGAGCAGGAGUGUUUUCUUCUCAAUCCUAAUGACCUCACUAACACAGUCAGUGUUUCUGCAAGCCCUACUCCUUCAUCAUUCCUAUUCCCAACAACACCUGACAUGCCAGGGCUUUAUACUGAAGACAGAAAAUUUUUUGUUGGUAAAGAUGCUGCUUCACCUAUUGCUUCAUCAAUCAGUAAACUACAGUAUUCAUCCUCUGGCUCUCAGCUACAAAUUGUACUGGUUGGAAGUCAACAAGAACAUAAUAUUAAGCUUACUAGAAAAUUUUUAAAUAAUUUUCAGCAUAAUGAAUUUGUAUAUUAUGUAUUUGUCCUAGCUGAUUAUGGCUCCAAAGUACAAGUAGCAAGAAUAUGUAGCAACGAUACUGGAAUUGAGCAGCUUAGUAUGUCAACACUUAAAACAUACACUGAGGCAGAAUUACAGUGUAAUGAAAUGAUAAAUCCUGAUUCAAUUACAGCAGCUACCUUUGUACAGUAUAUCAAUGGAGAAUCAAUGAUUAUGGUAUCAAUGAAGAGUGGCAGUACUAAUAUCUUAUGUGCAUUCAAUGUAUCAGAAAUUAAUAGAAAAAUGAAUGAUAAGUUAUCCUCAUGUAAAAAUGGGCAGGGAACAUUGUCCUUAAAAAGAAAUAGUGGCAGUAGUUCAUGUCCGAGUAAUUUAGAUCAAGAUAUGAAAAGUGUAAGAAAAAUAAUCAAUACAACUUUAUAAUAAUGGAUCAUUGUACAUUUUAAUAGGCAAUUAUGGCAUGCAAUAGACUAGGACAAUUUAUUGUUCCAUUUGAAGUAGAUAGUCCUACAUUCGGAGUCAGAGUUGCUUUCACAUCUGAAGUAUCUGCACUUAAUAGUCUUGCAUAUGAAGACACUGUGUAUCUAUAUGCUGGGUCUCAUCAAACAAUUGAACAGUACUAUUUCACAGCUGACAAUUUGUUAGUUUCAAUUCGCAACAUCACUACAAAGACUAAUGAACAAGUGAAUAAGAUUAAAUUUUCCCCAGACGGUGAAUAUUUAUAUGCUCUCUCACCAACGCAUGUGAGUGAUCAUACAUUAACUGUCAGUUAACAUUAAUUAACAGGUUGUUAAAGUAAAAGCUUCAUUGGAUUGCUCAACUGCAACAAGUUGCUCUGAAUGUGUUGUCAGUUUUCUUUGUGGUUGGUGCCAGUUAGACUUUACAUGUACUGGGCAGAACUCAUCAUGUACUAAUGGUCAAUGGCUCAAUGUACAGAAUCAAGGUACAGAUACUACUAACACUUGUCCUUAUUUACAACCUAACUCUGAUACAUCUGAUGGAAAAUAUACUCAACCAGCUAAUGUUACUAAGAAUUUGACUAUAUCUACAAUCAAUACUGUGGUAAGUUACAAUUACAUACUAAUGAUAAUAAUAAUAAUUCUCCCAAUAUUAUUGUAACAAUACUCACUAUUCAAUAUCACAGUUUUUUCCUGGUCUCAGUUAUGAGUGUGUAUAUGGUGCUGUUACUCGAACUGCUACUGUUAACAAUGACAAUAUGGUGACAUGUAAUAAUGAUCCUCUGGUGAGUAACGUACGGUAAAGU